RNAcentral lists this unclassified non-coding RNA (201 nucleotides) under fungal sp. Its description in RNAcentral is "partial contains small subunit ribosomal RNA, internal transcribed spacer 1, and 5.8S ribosomal RNA". The stretch from base 1 to 46 matches the Rfam family "Eukaryotic small subunit ribosomal RNA", at positions 1786 to 1831 of the family's 1831-position model. The record is from RNAcentral. RNAcentral also lists the same sequence under 1 other name. Lineage: Eukaryota; Fungi.
AAGUCGUAACAAGGUCUCCGUUGGUGAACCAGCGGAGGGAUCAUUAGCGAGUAAAACUCUCUAACACCAUUGUGAACGAACUGCCACGUUGCUUCGGCGGGGUCAAACCCGCCGAAAGAACGCAAACUCUAUGUCAUGAUUGUAUCUCUGAGUCAACUUUUUAAUAAGUUAAAACUUUCAACAACGGAUCUCUUGGUUCUG